This is a long non-coding RNA of Apis mellifera (honey bee), 250 nucleotides long. RefSeq lists it as uncharacterized. The transcript is spliced from 2 exons. The record is from RefSeq and is a predicted model, not a curated record. NCBI's taxonomy places the organism in Eukaryota, Metazoa, Arthropoda, Insecta, Hymenoptera, Apidae.
CCCGUUGCCGUCGAUGAGAGAGGGUGGAUUCAGCGAUAGUUACGUGCUGCAUCCUAUACGAGCAAAUGUUAGCACUAUAGGCUACUAAUGAGAGGAAUUGUUUUGCCAAAUUCAAAUCAACAUUGGAUAAAAUCACAAUGUAUACAUAUUGCAGAAAGUCGUGAAUGAUAGCGCGAUAAUAUGAAAUACGAUAUUGGUUAACAAUGCGCUUCAAUAUGCAUAUAGAGAUAUUUAUUAGUCAAUAGUUAGG